Long non-coding RNA from Felis catus (domestic cat), 10012 nucleotides. RefSeq lists it as uncharacterized. NCBI's taxonomy places the organism in Eukaryota, Metazoa, Chordata, Mammalia, Carnivora, Felidae. The record is from RefSeq and is a predicted model, not a curated record. The transcript has 6 exons.
AGCUGUCAGCACAGAGCCUGACGCGGGGCUCGAACUCACAGACUGCGAGAUCAUGACCUGAGCCGAAGUCGGACGUCCAACCGAGUGAGCCACCCGGGCGCCCCAGUCCUUCAGUUUCUUUCUGAAACUGAAAAGAUUUUGCAGAGUCGCUUUGAACAUUGAGCUAGUUAGGUCAAGUGGAAUUUCCCCAACUAUAGCCCUUGAGAAUUAGAGAAUGUAUCAUACCUGGCAUGUCUAGGGUGAUUUGAGACAAGCCUGCCUUCUAGGCACCAGUCUGUACCUAACUCUUCUGAGCCCACGACUAUAUCGCCUUGUCCGUCUUUGCUACUGGAGAGAUUUCAAAUGGUGAGGUGACAGAUUUGCCUCUACUGAGUUGACGGAGACAUGCUAGGUGCAGGCUUCUAUUUUGUGUUUCGGAUUGGGGCUAGUUCAAGAGGGAGUGAGGGUUUGCCACAAAGUACACAUUAAUUUAUCACUUCCAUGCCUAACGUUUACUGAGGUUUUUAGAUUGGGGGGAUUCUAGCCCUCCUUGAAAAGCUAACGAAACUUAGGAAAUUCUUAUAAAAAAGCACAACAUUUUAUGUUCAUUUUCAGUAGCUUCAUUGAAGCCACUGGUCUGUGGCCCUCCUGUUCUGUUCUUUUGAGGGAUAUCACGAAAACCUGUCCACCAGAGAGCUUGCUAGCCCACGUUCUCAGAAGGUCAUGUCCUCCCAGCUGGGACCGUUAAGGUCCCGGGGACGCUGUGCUGAAACUGAGGAACGUGGUCCUUGCUCUCGUGGCUUCGGGAAACGGGCUAGGCAACACGUAGGGUUAGUGUCACGCGUGGUCUGUUGGGGGCACACGUGCUGCUGUGGGAAAUACAGAAGAGGGGCCUGAUCUAGUCGAGAGUUCAGGAACAUCCUCCUUGAAGAGUCGAGAAGCCGAGAGCUCAGGGAAGGACGGGGGUUGGGAGAUGGGGGAGCAUCGAGGUAAGAGCAAACAGGCAAGGGCCUUGGAGCUCACGGUAUCUGGCAGACUGGAAAGUUUAGUGUGGUUGAAAGCAGGGAAGGAGAGCACAGUCCCGUGGGGGAGGCAGUUGGUGGAAGGGUUUGAAGAGAAUGGAGGAAGUCCGAAGCAGGAAGUCCAGGGAAGAGGAGAGAACAGACUAGAGAAACUUGCUAGGUGAUUGCCUGACACUAGAGGGUCUCCGGACCAGGGCUUCUCAGCCUUAGCACGAUGGACAUUUGGAACUGGGAGAUUUUCUAUUGUGGGGACCGGUGUCCUGGGCAUUGUAGCAUCCCUGGCCUCUAUUCACUAGGUGCCAGUAGUGCCCCUUCCCCAAGAAAAACUGUCCGCAGGCACUGCCACGUAUCACUUGAGGAGAGAAUUACCUCUGGCUGAGAGCCAGUAAGCCCAGCCGCUGAGCACUUCAGGAGAAAAAUCAUACAACUUGCAGAUUGCUGUUACGACGCAUUCAUGUCCCCAGCCUGGGCUCUCAGUUCUCCCUGGUUCUCCCGUUCCCCUAACAGUUGAAGUGAUGUUUCUACCCUCGAAGAUAGGAAGGAGAAAGUGAAGACAAGUUAUUAUUUGACUUCUCUAAGUCUCAGCUUCGUCAUGGGAUAAUAGAUGUUAAGUCAGCACCUACGAAGUGUUCAAUAAAUGGUAUCUAUCAUUAUUUCUGGGAGGGGCUGAUAGGAAAUGGACAGGCUGAACGAAGUUGAAAGAUGGUAGGAGUGGACUGAGAGCAGGAACGACAGGCCGCUGUGUUCCGAGAUAGACUGAUGUUCUUUUUUAUUUUUUAAGGUUUAUUUUUGAGAGAGAGACAGGCAGAGCGUGAGCAGGGGAGAAGCAGAGAGAAAAGAAGGCAUAGAAUCGGAAGCAGGCUCCAGACUCCGAGCUGUCAGCACAGAGCCUAACGCAGGGCUCAAACUCACGAACCGCGAGAUCAUGACCUGAGCUGAAGUCGGACACUUAACCUACCGAGCCACCCAGGCACCCCUAGACUGAUGUUCUAAUCAAGACUUCCAAGGUUGUGAUAGAUGGUGUCAUCAAAUCAUCUGCCACUUCUCUCCACCACGCUCCGGAGAGGGUGGGUAGUGCUCCGUGCCCUGGUGGCACCAGGCCUGUCCAUGAAAUGUCAGCGGGAAUGAAGUGUACUGCUUCUGAGCAGAGGUUCGGGGGACAUUGCGAGGGUCAGUCAGGGCUUCUUCCCUCAGCAUGAGGCUAGUGCACCCCAGAAUGAAGGCUGCCCUGCAGUCUGGCUCCAAGAUCGACAAGAACAGGGAGCAGAGCUGCGGCUGUCCUGCAGUGGGCAGAGAAACAAGACUUGGGGGGUGUGCUACUGACUUAGUCUGAGCGGACUGGCACAAAGGUGGACAAUCCCAGGUGAGGGUCCCAGGCGUGGCAUGGAGUGAGCAGUUCAAGCAUCAUGGAAGAGGAGUUUUUUGAUGUUGAGUUGGUCAAUGAGGGAGGGUCCUGUGAGGCUGGGGGUGUUGGAUGGGUCAUUCCUGGGGCAUCGGUAUCACCCAGGAUGUUGGCAGGAUUGUGGGAACCCAAAAUCGAUAACGAGUGAGCAAAAUAUCUGGAAGGUAAGCAGAUGGCACUAUAAAGGAGGUCUAAGACUCAAAAGAGCAGAGAUUUCUGUGUGGAGGGAUAGUAGUCUGGAUGCGGUCAGGGAGGCCCGUCUCCUCUACUGAAGGUGCAUGAGGUUUGGAGAAAUGACUGCCAAGGUUCCUUGGGGGAAAGCCAGGUAUCUAUCAAUCAUCUAUUUAUUUUUGAGAUAGUGUGAGCAGGGGAGGGGCAGAGAGAGAGGGAGACACAGAAUCUGAAGCAGGCUCCAGGCUCUGAGCUGUCAGCAUAGAGCCUGAUGAGGGGCUCGAACUCACGAACCAUGAGAUCAUGAGCCGAAGUCAGACACUUAACCGACUGAGCCACCCAGGUAUCCUUUAAGCCUUAAAGAAACAGAGGAAAGCAAAAGAGUAUAUGGAUGCAGGCAGGGGGAUGUUUACCAUGAAACAGUUCAUAGAGUCGUAGUUCGUAACUUGCUUGGGGUCAAGGGGUGGGUGCUCUGGAUCGCCUCUUGAGAGAAAGGAUAUACACGCGUGUAAAAUCUUACGUGCAAACCCAGGAGGUUUUGACUACAGUUUAAACUAUAACGAACGCAUUUGGUCUAGGUAACCCCAUCUUGCCUCCUUGCACUCUGGGACUCUUCCCUUCAUCGUUAACCUUUAAAAGAGUCACUGGUGGGAAAUAAACCAUGCAUUCGAAUCAAGUUAAAGAAAUGUGAGACUUCCUGGGCCCUAAAUUGGGAAAUUUUAACUCAAAAACUCCAGCUUUAUACUGCUCAAAACUGGGUAAAGCUGCUACCUAAAUAUGGGAUGCAUAUUGGCAAAAAUUACAUCCACUUUCUUCUGUGUGUGUGUGUGUGUGUGUGUGUGUGUGUGUGUGUGUUUGAAACACUUGUAACCAUCGGGAUUUCUGGAAUCCUUGGCACUGAAUCAGAAUUGCCAGUUAGCUACUUGCUGGGUGACCUUCGGCAGUUCACUUAAUGUCUCUAAGCCUCAGCUCACUGAUCUGGAAAACAGAGCUGAUGGACAAAUGAGCUAAUGCACGUGAGGUGCUUAGCACCUGAGACUUCCUUCCACUUGCUUGCAUCAGAGCUGGGGAGGCGGCUUCCUCAAAUAGGAGCCUCAAAUCUCCGGCUUCUAACCAACAGACAUAACCUGCACUGUCCACCAGAGGGCACCAGUAACUCGUAAAUCUAAGAGGAAUGUUCCUUUGCCCUUAAUUGAAUCUGCCUGAGGAUAACCCCUUAGGUUCAAGCCUUUAUUUAAAUAUUCUUGCUCUUGGUGCCUGAAGGAAUCAUUUGCCAGAUUCCUCAAAAUGCAGAAGGGAAAUCUGAAGUAAGAAGUUUAGGGUAAUUGGUGCCCUUACUCUACAUCAGCCAUCAAGAGAGUUCUAUUAACGUUGUUUUAUUUUGUCCAUUUCUACCAUGCAUUGUCUGUCUCUUCAGACUAUCUGUAACCUAGUUACAAAUUAUUCUCUCAGUAAUAAGUUGUUGCUGGUCCUUUCUUCCUGGUUUGUUCCAAUGAACUGAACUGCUGUUUUUCCCUUUGAUGUGCAGCCUCCCUCCUGUUUCCCCUAGUCAUGGCCAGCCUUCCUUCCAGCAGUGGGGGCUGGGAUCCAGUUCUGAUCCCUUUGCCUUACUGUUGAGCCUCAGAAGCCAUUUCCCUAAAUCCCUUUGAGGUGAGAGUCUAGUGAUGGAUGGGUACUCAUCACAAGAGGCUGUGUUCUGGGCGGGGGGGAGCCCUUUCUCCAUCUGAGGAGGGGAACAGCUAGGAAAAGUUGAGGCUACCAGCCACUAGAGCCUUCCUCAAAAUGUCAUGGAUUUCAGGGGAGCAGUGAUAUCCAGGAUACCCACUGCUUACUCUUUUUUUUUUCUUUCUCUAAUUUGAGAGAGAGGGAGAGAGAGCAGGAGAGAAGGGCAGAGGGAGAGAGAAUCUUAAGCAGGCUCCACACUGUGUGGAGCCCCGACACGGGGCUCAGUCCCGUGACCCAGGGAUCAUGACUUGAGCUGAAAUCAAGUCGGACGCUUUCUCGACUGAGCCACCCAGGCGCCCCUGACCAUCCCCUUGUCUAGAUGGGUUGUCAUGGCUGACGUUUGCCAUGUGCUUCGUAUUGGGUCAUCUAUCCGUUUGGUUUUAUGUCAUGUGAUCUCCACAACAACCCCGUGAGAGAAGUGUGGUGUUGGGCGAGUGGAGUGGACUACCCCCGCACAGAAGCACAGAGAAGCUAAAUGAAGGACAGGGAAGACUUCGCCAGGGUUCCAUUUCAGUCAGCACUGGAAGCAUUCCACAAGGCCAAGUUUUGUUCUGUUCUGUUUGGUUUUGUUUUAUGGAUUGUCCCUUGCACAGCAGGAUAUUUAACAUCUCUGGCCCCCAAGCCCUGUCAUUAAGGUACAAAUUAUACCUUCCAGAAACCCCAGAAGGUACGGUACAGGUAGGUGGUCCUGCCACCUGUUAGAACCACUGACUUAUCUGCAUGGUCACCGGAAAAAGGAGGAUUAAACAAAUUGCGUUGCUCCUCUGGUUAUUUUUAUGUUAAUGAAGGUCACUAGAUAAGAUGACAGAACCAGAGGAAGGAGAUCCCUGGGGGUGAGCAGAACUCUGUAAGGGAAGAGGCUAUAUUAUAAAGGAAGGGAAUGAGCGCUAGACCAAGGCGAUCUUCCUUUCUAAUCGCUGCUAAAACCCGGAGCGUGGACAGAGUCUGGCCUCUCAAACUCAUACCUUUAGAGACCAAUCGGUUGUCGCAGGCCAGGACGGCAGCCGGGUCAGGGGACAGAAGGGAGUGCCGGGGCUGGAGCCGUCUGGACAGCCGGGCCUACACAAAGGGUGUUUUCAUGUGGUAGCGUGGGCUCAUUGUUGCCAGCCUUUCUAAUAUUUCCAGAGAAUCCACCAGGCCAGAUUUUUAAAGGAAAUCUCUCUAUUGUAGAUAUGGGAUGUAAAAGCAGUUCUAACAUUCGUUUGGCCGAUGGAUGGCUGAGUCGGUUGAGCAUCUGACUCUUGAUUUCAGCUCAGGUCAUGAUCUCACAGUGGUGAGACUGAGCCCUGCGUCCUGCUCUGUGCUGCUGUGGAGCCUGCUUGGGAAUCUCUUGCUCUCUCUCAAUAAAUAAAUAAAUACCUACACAUUAAAAAAAGAAAAAAAAACAUUAGGUAGGCCAAGAAAAAAAAAUGCCUGCAAGUGAAUUUGGAUCGUCUUGACUUGUGAGUCAGGUCGUCUUUGAGAGGCCACUGCCAUCAAAGGUGCCACAGUGUAUGUCCACCGUGCUGGUGACAGAAGAGAUACAGGUUUCAGCAUACACAAAAAAGAAUUUCCUCCCCAUCCCAGCUGCAGACAGCCGCAGGGCAGGCUGCGCAGAGGACGAGCGGGCAUUCCUAGGGGCAGUGGGACCCCCAGAAGCUGAAGCAAGGAUUCCUGUGCCAUCUUUGGUCCUUUCUGGAUCCGAGAUUCUGGGAUCCUGGGGUUGUGAUUCCUCGAAGGCAGAGCUGGGAACAUGGAAACUCUAGAGCUUGGCCAGUGCCUGGAGUGCGACCAGCUCAGGCCCUGUCCUUCCCCCUGAUGCAUAGGAAUGGGGAAGAGCUGUCCCUGGAGUCCCUGCUCCCUAGAGGCCCUUUGUCUCGGUUCUCAGUACCUGAAGUUUACACGUGCAAGCUGCUCUUACUGUCUCGCAGCCAGUGGGUCCCUGACACCAACUGCAGAGCUAAACAGCCAAUUUUCCAGCCCAGCUGUUCUGCUACACUGACUUUAAGCUUAAAUGCACUUUUCUUUCAAACCCAUCAGGAGCUGUCUCCUUCCCUCUGCUCAUUUUCUUGGCGUUAAUCCAGCAGAAAGCAGGUACUCAGGAUAGCAGUACUUCACGCUUAGAAUGCUGGGGCCCGUAGGUCCUCCAUCGGGCUCCACCCACCUUCCCCUUCAGGGCCACGAUGGGACGUCCAUCUGGUUUGUAAUGGAGCUCCCAGUUGCCAGUGCCUGUGCCCUCCAUGCUCUCUGGGAAGGGGUCUCGCUCUCUGGUUGGGCAGCCUGUGCCUUUAAAAGCAGUGCCUUUGCUGGUUUCUGACUUGCAGCAGUGGGAUAGUCAGAUGUGGGGGAGGAAGCAGGGCUCUGGCAACCGAACUCCUGAUGUGGAGGAGUUGAAAAGCCAAGCUGCAAAUGUUACUAUCUAACAUGCUGGGAAAUCUCUGUUCCCAUUCUUCAGAUCUAAUCCGUCUUUGGCUUCUCAAGUCCGUAACCCUUCUCCUUCUGGGCUUUGCUUACAUCCCUACAUCCGGCAUUGGGGCAGACUCUCGGGAAGGGAGGUGGUCCCCAGCCCUGUUCCUUGCCCUUCUGGUCCAUGUGCCAGCAUAGACCAGGUUUUAAUGAACCUCAGAAUCUUCUGUGCCACAGACGGGGAGGACCGUGUAGGUGAAGGCUUUCCACAAGCCAUGGAGCACAAUGCAUGGAAUAAUCUGGAGACUCGCCCCAGAGAAGGUCCUGGCUCUCCUGUCUCAGCCUCCCUCUGGCAUCCCCAGGACUCAGUCCACCCUGAUAACUGGGAGAAGUACGCAGGCCUCAGGAGCUGAGGAAGGCCAAACCCGAUCCCUGGCUUCCUGAAGGUUAACCAGUCAGAGCUCCUCCUGUGUGCUGGCCUGGAAGAUUCCAUGGCCCGGGCCAGGUGUGGCAGGGCUUGUGGACGCUGGGAUGGCCCUUGAUGCUAUGGGUCAAGGACGAUGAGUCAGGUCAGCGCAGCCUUUCUGCCAAGCUGGAAUAUAGGAGGCCUGGGCACAUGAAGUCAGGCAAAUUCUACCUGCCCUGUUCCACCUGGCAUCCCCUCCCUACCUGUAGCCUGGAAACUCUCUGAAGAUAGCGAGCCUGGACAAUCAUCGGGAUGGUCUUGUUUAUUUCUCACCUCGAAAGGAUCACUGUGCUACAUUGCCUAGCAUGUCAUGUCCCAUAAAUGGUUGCUUCAUAUAUUUUGUCUGGUUUUUGGUUGUUUUAGGUGGGAGGGUAAGUCCUAUCCUUAUUACUUCAUCUUGGCCGGAAGCUGGUCCCUUUGGAUUUUGGAGACCAAUUUUUUUAAAAAUAUUUAUUUAUUUUUGAGACAGAGAGAGUGAGAGUGUGGGGGAGAGACAGAAAGAGAGGGAGACAGAGAAUCCCAAGCAGGCUCCCCGGCUUUCAGAUGUGGGGCUAGAACUCAUGAGUCGUGAAAUCAUGAUCUGAGCCCAAACCAAGAGUCUGACACUCGACUGACUGAGCCACCCAGGUGCCCCUGGAGACCAAUUUUAUGAUGCCGAUGUCACAUGUGGCAAACUCAGUAGGAGCAUCCCAGUGGAGGUCCUGAGGCAUUGGGAGUAAACAUACUCUCUCUUUCUCAAGUCACUAUUCUUCUGAGUGAUAGUUUUGGCUUUGUUCUGGCCCUGAUAGACAAAAGCCCUGACCACUGGACCAUGCAUGAGCUUGUAGCCAAAGCUACUCAUCAUGUUGACCAAGCCAAAAAUUCAGGCAUGCCCAGUAGCACUUCAUCAUGAAGUGCAAAUGAUAUCAAUGGAACCUGGCCAAGCAGAUACCAAUGGCUCACGUUCUAGUAACAAGUCAUUCAAACUCUGAGAGGGCCCACCCUUGUGGCUUUGCCACCUCUUCCUCAAUCUACACCCAUGGAUUCAUGGAAAGUUGACCAAGGAGGAGAAUAAUCAAGAUUGCUUUGCAAAACUCUUCAUGCUGUAUUUAUAUCCACCCAAAGGAAGCCACCUUAGCAUAAUAGCUCGUUCGGAAGGACCCCUGAAAUGGAGAACAGAUAUCCUCCUGGGGGGAGUACUUUGAGCAGUACGACUUGACUAAUUUGCUUGGGAGGAGGAGAGACGGCCAGAGGCCUGCUGGAGGACAGCGCUCAUCAGGCCUCGUCACGGCCAUGAGACUGCCCCACAGGGGACGUGGGGGCUCCGAGGAAGAAGGCAGGCCAAGGUGGGACCCCACUCGUUCGAACUGGACUGAGGUUCUCACUUCAAGUCUGGAGGUGCGGGGAGCCCCUUUGUGCUCAGUGACCUAAAAACAAGGUCCGGCCGCGGGCCGGGUGCCCAUUCUCGUGUCCCGGGACGAUGCGUUCUACCACCUUCCAGGCAGGUGCCGCUCACCUGGCCAGAGGGGCUCUUCGCCCACCUCCCCCUGCUUCCAGGAUGCUGGGGAGGGGAGCGGCUGGAGGCGCCGUCCCUCCCCUGAGCAGGAGAGUGGUAUGCCUGUUUACAUUUGACUACCUCCCACCUUCCUCUGCAGCUAUUUCUGAAGGUGGGAAAACAACCGUGACUUAAAAUGCACAGAGGUUUUGCGUGGGGGUGUGUGUGCACUGACACGUAAAACUCAGAGCAAACAAACACACGUGCGCACACGCACGCACGCCCGCAUACACGUGCAGCGGGAGCCCAGGGAACCUGGCCGCCCAAGCUAGUGACUGGUGGGCAGGAAGAGGGCAGGGGACUCUGCGGUGUACUGUGUGGGUGGAGAGGAGGCAGGAAUGAGCUGAGUCCCGGGACGGCCCUGUCACCGAACGGGACCUAGGCCGGUGGUGCUGUCACACGUACACAUCCCAGAGGCCCUUGCCUCCUGCCUCGACCCGGCACGAGAGAGAGCAGAGCCCACAGGCGAAGAGAUCCUACUCUGACUUCCCACCUCCCGCCAGAGCACGCUGGGAAAACGGAUCGGCUUCUCAGAGCCUCUGUUCCUUCCGUCUAACAUGAGGUUGCCGUUAGGAUUAAGGGAGCCGAGUGGGGCGCACCCAGAAAGAGCUCAAUAAAUGUCAGUUGCCUCUUGGCUCCGGUCCUCCCCCAGGGCUGGGAGGCUCUCCAGCGGUAGGACUUCUCAGGGGGAACAGAAAGUGCAUCCAGGUCCUCCACGAGGCCCUACUGGGCUUGCCCACCGUGGCCCAGCGUUGCCUCCGGGUGGCAUGGGGGAGCGAGGAACAGAAAUAGAUAACACGUCACGACAUUAACCUCCUCCACUCCGGCAGGGCUGAAAACUGCAAAACGAUUAGAAGAGCGCAGGACAGUCCCGAAGGGCAGAGAAGCCUGCAGUGAGUGGAGAGGGGUCUCCCGCCAGGCCGGGCCGGGCCGGGCCGGGCCGGGCCGGGCCUCCCCCUUGGCCUUCAGACGCGAUCUGAGCCGCAGGGGUCUCUCCUCCACCACCUUGGCUCUAACGCCUCCGUUCUGCGGAGGCUCAGCUGCGUGGCGGGGAUGAAGGAACCACUUAAGACUGAAUUCAAAACCUUUUCCUCCACCCCACGCAGCAGCCCCUCUGGCUGGGUGGGUGAGGCAGUGCACCUGCUCCCCCGCCAGGAGCCCAGGGCGGGCGUUCGGCGCCCAGAGGGAGGCGGUGGCUCAAUGACUCACGUUCGGCCGCACCUCUGAUCCCAAGGCUUGGCAAAGGCCCAGACGAGUCCUCCCCCUCGCGGCUGAGCGCACAGCCCCUUCCAGGGAGGAAGGCAGAGCUGCCCACUCACCUGCCAUCG